Molecule: ribosomal RNA, 446 nt
Filed under: uncultured Leptolinea sp.
Lineage: Bacteria; Bacillati; Chloroflexota; Anaerolineae; Anaerolineales; Anaerolineaceae
Description: bacterial SSU rRNA
Rfam family: Bacterial small subunit ribosomal RNA
Source: RNAcentral
GCACAAGCAGCGGAGCGUGUGGUUUAAUUCGUUGCUACACGAAGAACCUUACCUGGGUUUGACAUAUAGGUUGUAGGGAACUGAAAAGGGACCGACCCUUCGGGGAGCUUGCACAGGUGCUGCAUGGCUGUCGUCAGCUCGUGUCGUGAGAUGUUCGGUUAAGUCCGCUAACGAGCGCAACCCUCGCUGUGUGUUAUAUGUGUCACACGGGACUGCCGGUCUUAAGCCGGAGGAAGGUGGGGAUGAUGUCAAGUCAGCAUGGCCUUUAUAUCCUGGGCUACACACACGCUACAAUGGCCAACACAAUAGGUUGCUAAGCCGCGAGGUGGCGCCAAUCCAUAAAGUUGGUCUCAGUUCAGAUUGUAGGCUGCAACCCGCCUGCAUGAAGAUGGAGUUGCUAGUAACCGCAGGUCAGCUAUACUGCGGUGAAUACGUUCCCGGGGCUU